UACGUAGGGUGCAAGCGUUGUCCGGAAUUAUUGGGCGUAAAGAGCUCGUAGGCGGUCUGUCGCGUCGGCUGUGAAAACUCGGGGCUCAACUCCGAGCUUGCAGUCGAUACGGGCAGGCUAGAGUUCGGCAGGGGAGACUGGAAUUCCUGGUGUAGCGGUGAAAUGCGCAGAUAUCAGGAGGAACACCGAUGGCGAAGGCAGCUCGCUGGGACGGUACUGACGCUGAGGCGCGAAAGCGUGGGGAGCAAACAGG
This 253-nucleotide ribosomal RNA is filed under the name uncultured bacterium. RNAcentral's name for it is "partial 16S ribosomal RNA". It matches the Rfam family "Bacterial small subunit ribosomal RNA", at positions 524 to 776 of the family's 1533-position model. The record is from RNAcentral.